This 253-nucleotide ribosomal RNA is filed under the name uncultured bacterium. Its description in RNAcentral is "partial 16S ribosomal RNA". It matches the Rfam family "Bacterial small subunit ribosomal RNA", at positions 524 to 776 of the family's 1533-position model. The record is from RNAcentral.
GACGAACCACACAAACGUUAUUCGGAAUUACUGGGCGUAAAGCGCACGUAGGCGGCUUUGUAAGUUAGAGGUGAAAGCCCAGGGCUUAACCCUGGAAUUGCCUUUAAGACUGCAUCGCUAGAAUUGUGGAGAGGUAAGUGGAAUUCCGAGUGUAGAGGUGAAAUUCGUAGAUAUUCGGAAGAACACCAGUGGCGAAGGCGACUUACUGGACACAUAUCGACGCUGAGGUGCGAAAGCGUGGGGAGCAAACAGG